CAAAUUCUUGUAAGCUAAGUCGAAUCCAGUAAGAAGUUAAUAUCAUUUACUUUCAUCUUUUAAUUCCUAGGUAUUUCUCCUCUAUCCCAAAAUAAGUGUCUCGAGCUUAGUACACCUUUGUACUAGAGUUAGUACAAAGUUGAGAGACUUUCUUUUUAAACGGAGAGAGUACUACAUAAUUGUAUCCUUGACACUUCCCGUGAUAAUGUCUAUCUACAGUGGGUAAGUAUGAACAUGCCCGCAAGAUGAUAAUUGUACCACACAUCAUAUUUAUGCAAGAUGCCUGCAGUUCUAUGUUUCCAAGGCUGUGUGAAAUUUUCUUGCAAAUGCAUGCUACUCUAUUUUAGGCAGUCUGAAACUGAGUGCCAACUACAAGUUGAAGACUCAAGAAAUUCUCCCAAAGAUGUGGUAUGCCUGACGAUGGAGCUGGUUCCCGAUGUAGCUGUGUCACAAGCUGUGCCGACGACCAUCAGCUGCCUUCACCGAGAUAAACACUUUUGAGGAGUCUGUGACUCUUGGUGCUCAUCUGUCAAUCCCA
RNAcentral lists this long non-coding RNA (538 nucleotides) under Hordeum vulgare. RNAcentral's name for it is "long non-coding RNA (HVUL_LNC008103)". The record is from RNAcentral. Lineage: Eukaryota; Viridiplantae; Streptophyta; Magnoliopsida; Poales; Poaceae.